RNAcentral lists this RNase P RNA (359 nucleotides) under Microbacterium sp. JB110. RNAcentral describes it as "Bacterial RNase P class A". It matches the Rfam family "Bacterial RNase P class A". Rfam says of the family: Ribonuclease P (RNase P) is a ubiquitous endoribonuclease, found in archaea, bacteria and eukarya as well as chloroplasts and mitochondria. Its best characterised activity is the generation of mature 5'-ends of tRNAs by cleaving the 5'-leader elements of precursor-tRNAs. Cellular RNase Ps are ribonucleoproteins. The record is from Rfam by way of RNAcentral. Lineage: Bacteria; Bacillati; Actinomycetota; Actinomycetes; Micrococcales; Microbacteriaceae.
UGGGUCGGCCGGGCGGUCGCGUCGUGCGAUGAGCACGCCGAGGAACGUCCGGGCUCCACAGGGCACGGUGGUGGGUAACGCCCACCCGGAGCAAUCCGCGAGACAGUGCAACAGAAAGCAGACCGCCGGCUCCGGCCGGUAAGGGUGAAACGGUGGUGUAAGAGACCACCAGGGGCCGUGGUGACAUGGCCCGCUGGGUAAACCUCACCGGGAGCAAGACCAGACAGGGGAUGUUGACGCGGCCCGCCGAGUCCCCGGGUAGGUUGCUGGAGCGGCGCGGCAACGCGUCGCGGAGAGAGAUGGCCGCCGACGGAGCGAGAGCUCCCGAACAGAACCCGGCGUACAGGCCGGCCCAUUCG